GCCCUCGUAGCUCAGUGGAUAGCGCGCCGGCCUUCUAAUCCGUUGGUCGUAGGUUCGACUCCUACCGAGGGCG
Molecule: transfer RNA, 73 nt
Filed under: Acidimicrobiaceae bacterium
Lineage: Bacteria; Bacillati; Actinomycetota; Acidimicrobiia; Acidimicrobiales; Acidimicrobiaceae
Description: tRNA-Arg
Rfam family: tRNA
About the family: Transfer RNA (tRNA) molecules are approximately 80 nucleotides in length.
Source: RNAcentral